UCUCUUUUUUUUUUUUUUUUUUUUUCCCCUCUUCCCCCCUCCGCGUGCAGCCCGGUGUUGCUGAAUGGAAAAGCCGUGAGUCAGGCGUGUGUCAUCGCACAUAGCGGGAUAUAAGGGAGCUGUGGGGAGCUGUGGGGCCGCGUGGGGAGGGCGAGGGUGAGUGUGAGUGAGUGUGCAAGGCCAGGUGUGCGGAGCCGGGAGCGGGGGGGAAAAAGGGGGUUGGGGGGCGGUGGUGCGUGCUGUGUUGGUGUGUUGUGGAGGGGGUGUGAGCGGCGGGGGGGAGUGCGAGGAGGGUGGGAGGGUGUGAGGAGUUGUGUCAGUGUGUCAGUGUGUAUCUAGUUGUGUCAGUGUGCCUGUGUGUCGUGUAGUUGUGUCAGUGUGUCAGUGUGUCAGUGUGUGUGACUGCCUAGUUGUGUCAGUGUGUGUCACUGUCUAGUUGUGUCACUGUGUCAGUGUGUCACUGUGUCACUGUGUCACUGUGUGUGUAGUUGUGUCACUGUGUCACUGUGUCAGUGUGUCACAGUGUUGUGGUGUGAUUGUGUCGCGGUGUGGUUGUGUCGCGGUGUGGUUGUGUCACGGUGUGGUUGUGUCCCAGCAUCGCAGCGCUGGACUGCGGUUGUGUCGCCGUGUCUGUCGGCGUGUCACGACACUGAGGCGCGGUUGCGUCCCUGUUUGUGUCGCGCUGUCGCCGUGCCGCCAUGUUGAGGUGUGAUCGUCUCACUGUGGCACUGUCGUGUCCCUGUGCCGUGCUGUGACCUGGUUGUGUCGUUGUGUCCCUGUUGUGUCGCUGUGCGGUUGUGUCAUUGUGUGGUUGUGUUGUGUCGUUGUGUGGUUGUGUCGUUGUGUGGUUGUGUUGUUGCGUCGCCGUGGUUGUGGCCGUGGCGGCGCUGCGGCUGUGGGGUCAGAGCGCCGUCAGCCCCACAAGUGUGGAGGAGCCGCAGAGCAUGGCAGUCGCACUGUGGCAGACGCUGCUGGCCCUGCUGGGUCUGUACCCCGGGCUUUGCCCCUCCCUUCCGGCCGCCCCCCGCCCGCGCCCCCCGGACCCCCGCGCCGACCUGGACAGCGUGGUCAGCCUGGCCAAAGCCCUCC
Molecule: long non-coding RNA, 1089 nt
Filed under: Phasianus colchicus (ring-necked pheasant)
Lineage: Eukaryota; Metazoa; Chordata; Aves; Galliformes; Phasianidae
Description: lncRNA (ENSPCLG00000016851.1)
Source: RNAcentral